Long non-coding RNA from Papilio polytes (common Mormon), 370 nucleotides. RefSeq lists it as uncharacterized. The record is from RefSeq and is a predicted model, not a curated record. The transcript is spliced from 2 exons. Lineage: Eukaryota; Metazoa; Arthropoda; Insecta; Lepidoptera; Papilionidae.
AAAAAACUUCGCGGACAGUUUUUACAAUGUAUUAGUGUUAAGGAAAUGUUAAAAAAAGUCUAUUUAGGAUAUUCUUAGUAUUAAGGUGAUUUGGUGGAUUAUUUUUCAUUCUCAAGAUGAACAGUAAUAUUACGAAAUAAAACAAAAAAAUGUGUCCAAAUGUCUAACGCAAUAAUAUUUUAUACAAAUAAAAAUAGCAACUUCUUUUUUUAUACGAAUUUUAAAUAUUAGAAAAAUUGUGUCACAUAGUGUACGGUACCAGUUAAUGAAAACGUUUCAACGGCAGAUAACCUCAAAUAGAUAAUGAGGUUAAGAACCAACGAAGAGAAAGCAACGUGUUUUUGGAAUAAUAAAGAUGUUUGUUAUGGAA